GUCCCCGGAUGAGUGUACCUGAAGAAAAAGCAUCGGCUAACUCCGUGCCAGCAGCCGCGGUAAUACGGAGGAUGCGAGCGUUAUCCGGAUUUAUUGGGUUUAAAGGGUGCGCAGGCGGUCUGUUAAGUCAGCGGUCAAAGCCCGGGGCUCAACCCCGGCCCGCCGUUGAAACUGGCAGUCUCGAGUUGGAGAGAAGUAUGCGGAAUGCGCGGUGUAGCGGUGAAAUGCAUAGAUAUCGCGCAGAACUCCGAUUGCGAAGGCAGCAUGCCGGCUCCACACUGACGCUGAGGCACGAAAGCGUGGGUAUCGAACAGGAUUAGAUACCCUGGUAGUCCACGCAGUAAACGAUGAAUGCUGGCUGUCCGGGGGGA
RNAcentral lists this ribosomal RNA (371 nucleotides) under Bacteroidales bacterium. Its description in RNAcentral is "bacterial SSU rRNA". It matches the Rfam family "Bacterial small subunit ribosomal RNA", at positions 461 to 832 of the family's 1533-position model. Lineage: Bacteria; Pseudomonadati; Bacteroidota; Bacteroidia; Bacteroidales. The record is from RNAcentral.